This 728-nucleotide long non-coding RNA is filed under the name Manihot esculenta (cassava). Its description in RNAcentral is "long non-coding RNA (MESC_LNC000518)". The record is from RNAcentral. Lineage: Eukaryota; Viridiplantae; Streptophyta; Magnoliopsida; Malpighiales; Euphorbiaceae.
AAAAAACCCCUCAUGACAAAUCAAAACCACAAGAAGAACGCAGAGAUGAGACAACAGAGUUAAAUGUUCAGAACAGAUACAUUCUGUCAUGCAAUGAGAUUCAAAUUUAGAUGAUUUUACCCAAUGGCCAACUCUCCAGGGUCCUUCAUUGUAUUCAACCAAUCACUAUAUGCAUUUGUUGAGUUAGUUUCAAUAAUAAGAGAAGAGAUGCAUGGUCACCAAAAAAGGUUCAAAAAGUUCUGAAAAGAAGGAUACAACUUCAUCGGUUUGAUGCAGUUUUCUUUAACUGCAUUUUGUAAAACUAGGUUUUUUGGAUCUGUUGUUUGCUGGUUUUUUGUUUUUGGAUCUUGUUUUCCAGGUAGCAUGCAAUGGCUAGAUUGGGGGUUUCUUUGGUUUUGUUCUUUUUGGCUUUUUCAUGGAUUUAAUGAUAAAAUUUUUUCUUGUAAGAUCUCAGCUUCGCUGGUGUCAAUAACUAUUAAAACUCUUAACUCUGAAAAAAUUGUGCUGUACAGCGAGAAAGGCAUUCUUAUUUGUUUGAUGGAAAGCUAUUUUGACAAUGUUUUACGUUGUGGAAGAUGAAGAGUGCAGCCAUUCUUAUCCAGAUUAAGUUAACAUUUUUCACUUUUUUUUUUAAGUUUUUAGGUACUGAGAAAAUUAACAAACGGAACGGAAAAUAUUUUUUUCUUUAAAGGGAAAAUUAAAUUAUUUUAAGAGAAUGAAAUUUGCAC